This 336-nucleotide ribosomal RNA is filed under the name uncultured bacterium. Its description in RNAcentral is "bacterial SSU rRNA". It matches the Rfam family "Bacterial small subunit ribosomal RNA", at positions 28 to 353 of the family's 1533-position model. The record is from RNAcentral.
AUUGAACGCUGGCGGCAUGCUUUACACAUGCAAGUCGAGCGGCAGCGCGGGUUCGGGCAACUGAGCUCUGGCGGCGAGCGGCGGACGGGUGAGUAAUGCAUCGGAACGUAUCCUGUAGUGGGGGACAACCCAGCGAAAGCUGGGCUAAUACCGCAUACGCUCUCGAGGGGGAAAGUGGGGGACUCGCAAGGGCCUCGCGCUAGAGGAGCGGCCGAUGUCCGAUUAGCUGGUUGGUGAGGUAAAGGCUUACCAAGGCGACGAUCGGUAGCUGGUCUGAGAGGAUGAUCAGCCACACUGGGACUGAGACACGGCCCAGACUCCGUACGGGAGGCAGCA